ACCAACGAAGCUGCAGAACCCAUGUUAUUCAGAGCUGGAACUAAGUAUGGAGAAGAGAGGUAGUUUCCCUAGGGCACACUUUGUGUUGCUAUACGUCUGAAAAUCAUAUAAUAAAGAAGAUAGGUCAAUGACCAUGAAGACCCAUGUGCAGUGUUUGCCAGGAUACAAGAACAAAAGCUGUUGUGGGGAAUGGCCUUGA
Phascolarctos cinereus (koala) is the source of this 199-nucleotide non-coding RNA. NCBI's taxonomy places the organism in Eukaryota, Metazoa, Chordata, Mammalia, Diprotodontia, Phascolarctidae. The record is from RefSeq and is a predicted model, not a curated record.